This 482-nucleotide ribosomal RNA is filed under the name uncultured bacterium. RNAcentral's name for it is "partial 16S ribosomal RNA". It matches the Rfam family "Bacterial small subunit ribosomal RNA", at positions 30 to 507 of the family's 1533-position model. The record is from RNAcentral.
AUUGAACGCUGGCGGCAUGCUUUACACAUGCAAGUCGAACGGUAACAGGCCGCAAGGUGCUGACGAGUGGCGCACGGGUGAGUAAUGCAUCGGAACGUGCCCAGUCGUGGGGGAUAACUACUCGAAAGAGUAGCUAAUACCGCAUACGAUCUAUGGAUGAAAGCGGGGGACCGUAAGGCCUCGCGCGAUUGGAGCGGCCGAUGUCAGAUUAGGUAGUUGGUGGGGUAAAGGCUCACCAAGCCAACGAUCUGUAGCUGGUCUGAGAGGACGACCAGCCACACUGGGACUGAGACACGGCCCAGACUCCUACGGGAGGCAGCAGUGGGGAAUUUUGGACAAUGGUCGCAAGCCUGAUCCAGCAAUGCCGCGUGCAGGAAGAAGGCCUUCGGGUUGUAAACUGCUUUUGUACGGAACGAAACGGCUCUGGUUAAUACCCGGGGCUAAUGACGGUACCGUAAGAAUAAGCACCGGCUAACUACGUG